Capsicum annuum is the source of this 1193-nucleotide long non-coding RNA. RefSeq lists it as uncharacterized. The record is from RefSeq and is a predicted model, not a curated record. NCBI's taxonomy places the organism in Eukaryota, Viridiplantae, Streptophyta, Magnoliopsida, Solanales, Solanaceae. The transcript has 2 exons.
UUUAAGUUAUUAACUUGAUUUUACUCACUAUAGAUUGUGCUUUAUGCUCCUUAACUCUAGUUUCAACUAAUCCAGCAAGUUUAAUUUUGUUAGCUCAAAAAUAAGUAAUAAUAUCUCUAUUCUUAUCGCACUUAUUAGGCCCCUUACAUUCCAGUCCACUCAACUUAUUGACUACUAAUAGAGAAGCCCCAUCUUGAGCUAGAAAAGAGAAAAGUUGCUAACGCAACAGUAGUAGUGGUAGUAUCACCUCUAAAUAUACUUAUCUAAUCAGCAGCUUCAGUUGGCAACUGGCAACUAAGAAUCAACAUCUAUUAGGGACUAUCAGUGGUUACUCUAGAACCCACAAGUAACAAAUAAGGUAGUAUUGAUCCUAAUUGGAGAUCGCCAAUGGAUAAGGAAAUCACAACCUUAUAAAAGAAUAAAACAUGGGAGGUCACACCUCUAUCUCUGGAAAGGAAAAUACUACCUUAUAAGUGGGUUUACAAGGUGAAACAACAUUCUGAUGGUACAAUUGAGAGGUACAAGGAAAAACUUGUUAUUAGAAAGGACAUACAAAGGGAAGGUUUAGACUACAAUAAAACCUUAUCUCCUGAUGUUAAGAUGGCAAGAAUCAAAUAUCUCAUAGCUAUUGUAAUUAAGAGAGACCGGUCCAUCUCUUAGCUUGGUGUGAAUAAUGCUUUCCUUCAUGUUGAUAUUCAAGAAGACUGUAUGAAGUUUCCACCAAGAAUGACUGGCCCUAGUCCCAACCAUAUUUGCAGACUUAGAAAGUCUUUAUAUUGACUCAAGCAUGAAUCAAGGCAAUGGUAUGCCAAGCUUGUUGUUGCCCUCACUUUCAAAGAUUUCUCAACAUCUUUGAAUGAUUACUCAUUAUUUUUUAAAAGGCCAAGGGAUCUCAUUUCUAUCAUUGGAGUGUGUGUUGAUGACAUCUUGAUUAUAGAGAAUUAUCCCAAUGAGUUCACAACUAUGAAGGUCUUCCGUGACAUGAAUUCAAAAAGGACUUGAGGGAGCUACAUUAUUUUCUAGGGAAGGAGAUUCACCGAGAGCAACAUGGGUGUAUUGUUAGUCAAAGGAAAUUUUCCUUAGACUUGUUAGGGGUAGUUUGGUUGAAAACAAGUUAUGCUGAGAUUAGUUAUGAUGAGAUAAAUUAUGAUAGGAUAAAUUAUAUUGGGAUUAGUUAUGCUUGGAUUAUUUUU